UACGUAGGGUGCAAGCGUUAAUCGGAAUUACUGGGCGUAAAGCGUGCGCAGGCGGUUGUGUAAGACAGAUGUGAAAUCCCUGGGCUCAACCUGGGAACUGCAUUUGUGACUGCACAGCUGGAGUGCGGCAGAGGGGGAUGGAAUUCCGCGUGUAGCAGUGAAAUGCGUAGAUAUGCGGAGGAACACCGAUGGCGAAGGCAAUCCCCUGGGCCUGCACUGACGCUCAUGCACGAAAGCGUGGGGAGCAAACAGG
This 253-nucleotide ribosomal RNA is filed under the name uncultured bacterium. RNAcentral describes it as "partial 16S ribosomal RNA". It matches the Rfam family "Bacterial small subunit ribosomal RNA", at positions 524 to 776 of the family's 1533-position model. The record is from RNAcentral.